UGGUGGUUUGACCAAUCAUCUGUUCGUAUGUUCUCUGCCAGAUACCAAAGCGAACCCUGUGAACAUUAACAAAGUUCUUCUUCGUCUCUAUGGAGCUUUCUACAGUGACAUGUCUGAUAGUACUGUCAGGAUGAUGGAAGAAUGUAUUAUAUGUGGCCUGUUGGCAGAGAAAAAUAUGGGUCCUGAUCUUUAUGGAAUAUUUCCUGAGGGUAGGCUGGAGCAGUUUAUACCUGAUGUGAG
Molecule: non-coding RNA, 240 nt
Organism: Paramuricea clavata
Lineage: Eukaryota; Metazoa; Cnidaria; Anthozoa; Malacalcyonacea; Plexauridae
Source: the annotation of a GenBank genome assembly